Molecule: ribosomal RNA, 307 nt
Filed under: uncultured eukaryote
Lineage: Eukaryota
Description: partial 18S ribosomal RNA
Rfam family: Eukaryotic small subunit ribosomal RNA
Source: RNAcentral
CCCUUAGACGUUCUGGGCCGCACGCGCGCUACACUGACACAGGCAACGAGCUUUCCUUUACCGAAAGGUAUGGGUAAUCUUUUGAAACUGUGUCGUGCUGGGGAUAGAUCCUUGCAAUUUUUGAUCUUAAACGAGGAAUUCCUAGUAAGCGCGAGUCAUCAACUCGCGUUGAUUACGUCCCUGCCCUUUGUACACACCGCCCGUCGCUACUACCGAUUGAAUGGCUUAGUGAGGCCUCAGGGUCCGCGCUUAAUGUGUGGAGAAUUUGGACAAACUACGUCAUUUAGAGGAAGUAAAAGUCGUAACA